UACAGAGGUCUCAAGCGUUGUUCGGAUUCAUUGGGCGUAAAGGGUGCGUAGGCGGCGCGGUAAGUCGGGUGUGAAAUCUCGGGGCUUAACUCCGAAACUGCAUUCGAUACUGCCGUGCUUGAGGACUGGAGAGGAGAAUGGAAUUUACGGUGUAGCGGUGAAAUGCGUAGAUAUCGUAAGGAAGACCAGUGGCGAAGGCGGGUCUCUGGACAGUUCCUGACGCUGAGGCACGAAGGUCAGGGGAGCAAACGGG
RNAcentral lists this ribosomal RNA (253 nucleotides) under uncultured bacterium. Its description in RNAcentral is "partial 16S ribosomal RNA". It matches the Rfam family "Bacterial small subunit ribosomal RNA", at positions 524 to 776 of the family's 1533-position model. The record is from RNAcentral.